GAUCAUGGCUCAGGAUGAACGCUAGCUACAGGCUUAACACAUGCAAGUCGCGGGGCAGCAGGUACAGAAGCUUGCUUCAGUACGCUGGCGACCGGCGCACGGAUGAGUAACGCGUAUCCAACCUGGCCCAUACCACGGGACAGCCCGUCGAAAGGCGGAUUAAGUACCGUAUGCAGUCAUUAGGGAGCAUUUUUUGAUGACGAAAGGAUUUGGCGGUAUGGGAUGGGGAUGCG
Molecule: ribosomal RNA, 233 nt
Filed under: uncultured bacterium
Lineage: Bacteria
Description: partial 16S ribosomal RNA
Rfam family: Bacterial small subunit ribosomal RNA
Source: RNAcentral